UUAAGUGACUAAGCGUACACGGUGGAUGCCCUGGCAGUCAGAGGCGAUGAAGGACGUGCUAAUCUGCGAUAAGCGUCGGUAAGGUGAUAUGAACCGUUAUAACCGGCGAUUUCCGAAUGGGGAAACCCAGUGUGUUUCGACACACUAUCAUUAACUGAAUCCAUAGGUUAAUGAGGCGAACCGGGGGAACUGAAACAUCUAAGUACCCCGAGGAAAAGAAAUCAACCGAGAUUCCCCCAGUAGCGGCGAGCGAACGGGGAGCAGCCCAGAGCCUGAAUCAGUGUGUGUGUUAGUGGAAGCGUCUGGAAAGGCGCGCGAUACAGGGUGACAGCCCCGUACACAAAAAUGCACAUACUGUGAGCUCGAUGAGUAGGGCGGGACACGUGGUAUCCUGUCUGAAUAUGGGGGGACCAUCCUCCAAGGCUAAAUACUCCUGACUGACCGAUAGUGAACCAGUACCGUGAGGGAAAGGCGAAAAGAACCCCGGCGAGGGGAGUGAAAAAGAACCUGAAACCGUGUACGUACAAGCAGUGGGAGCCUCUUUAUGGGGUGACUGCGUACCUUUUGUAUAAUGGGUCAGCGACUUAUAUUCUGUAGCAAGGUUAACCGAAUAGGGGAGCCGAAGGGAAACCGAGUCUUAACUGGGCGUUAAGUUGCAGGGUAUAGACCCGAAACCCGGUGAUCUAGCCAUGGGCAGGUUGAAGGUUGGGUAACACUAACUGGAGGACCGAACCGACUAAUGUUGAAAAAUUAGCGGAUGACUUGUGGCUGGGGGUGAAAGGCCAAUCAAACCGGGAGAUAGCUGGUUCUCCCCGAAAGCUAUUUAGGUAGCGCCUCGUGAAUUCAUCUCCGGGGGUAGAGCACUGUUUCGGCAAGGGGGUCAUCCCGACUUACCAACCCGAUGCAAACUGCGAAUACCGGAGAAUGUUAUCACGGGAGACACACGGCGGGUGCUAACGUCCGUCGUGAAGAGGGAAACAACCCAGACCGCCAGCUAAGGUCCCAAAGUCAUGGUUAAGUGGGAAACGAUGUGGGAAGGCCCAGACAGCCAGGAUGUUGGCUUAGAAGCAGCCAUCAUUUAAAGAAAGCGUAAUAGCUCACUGGUCGAGUCGGCCUGCGCGGAAGAUGUAACGGGGCUAAACCAUGCACCGAAGCUGCGGCAGCGACGCUGAUGCGUUGUUGGGUAGGGGAGCGUUCUGUAAGCCUGCGAAGGUGUGCUGUGAGGCAUGCUGGAGGUAUCAGAAGUGCGAAUGCUGACAUAAGUAACGAUAAAGCGGGUGAAAAGCCCGCUCGCCGGAAGACCAAGGGUUCCUGUCCAACGUUAAUCGGGGCAGGGUGAGUCGACCCCUAAGGCGAGGCCGAAAGGCGUAGUCGAUGGGAAACAGGUUAAUAUUCCUGUACUUGGUGUUACUGCGAAGGGGGGACGGAGAAGGCUAUGUUGGCCGGGCGACGGUUGUCCCGGUUUAAGCGUGUAGGCUGGUUUUCCAGGCAAAUCCGGAAAAUCAAGGCUGAGGCGUGAUGACGAGGCACUACGGUGCUGAAGCAACAAAUGCCCUGCUUCCAGGAAAAGCCUCUAAGCAUCAGGUAACAUCAAAUCGUACCCCAAACCGACACAGGUGGUCAGGUAGAGAAUACCAAGGCGCUUGAGAGAACUCGGGUGAAGGAACUAGGCAAAAUGGUGCCGUAACUUCGGGAGAAGGCACGCUGAUAUGUAGGUGAAGCGACUUGCUCGUGGAGCUGAAAUCAGUCGAAGAUACCAGCUGGCUGCAACUGUUUAUUAAAAACACAGCACUGUGCAAACACGAAAGUGGACGUAUACGGUGUGACGCCUGCCCGGUGCCGGAAGGUUAAUUGAUGGGGUCAGCGCAAGCGAAGCUCUUGAUCGAAGCCCCGGUAAACGGCGGCCGUAACUAUAACGGUCCUAAGGUAGCGAAAUUCCUUGUCGGGUAAGUUCCGACCUGCACGAAUGGCGUAAUGAUGGCCAGGCUGUCUCCACCCGAGACUCAGUGAAAUUGAACUCGCUGUGAAGAUGCAGUGUACCCGCGGCAAGACGGAAAGACCCCGUGAACCUUUACUAUAGCUUGACACUGAACAUUGAGCCUUGAUGUGUAGGAUAGGUGGGAGGCUUUGAAGUGUGGACGCCAGUCUGCAUGGAGCCGGCCUUGAAAUACCACCCUUUAAUGUUUGAUGUUCUAACGUGGACCCGUGAUCCGGGUUGCGGACAGUGUCUGGUGGGUAGUUUGACUGGGGCGGUCUCCUCCUAAAGAGUAACGGAGGAGCACGAAGGUUGGCUAAUCCUGGUCGGACAUCAGGAGGUUAGUGCAAUGGCAUAAGCCAGCUUGACUGCGAGCGUGACGGCGCGAGCAGGUGCGAAAGCAGGUCAUAGUGAUCCGGUGGUUCUGAAUGGAAGGGCCAUCGCUCAACGGAUAAAAGGUACUCCGGGGAUAACAGGCUGAUACCGCCCAAGAGUUCAUAUCGACGGCGGUGUUUGGCACCUCGAUGUCGGCUCAUCACAUCCUGGGGCUGAAGUAGGUCCCAAGGGUAUGGCUGUUCGCCAUUUAAAGUGGUACGCGAGCUGGGUUUAGAACGUCGUGAGACAGUUCGGUCCCUAUCUGCCGUGGGCGCUGGAGAACUGAGGGGGGCUGCUCCUAGUACGAGAGGACCGGAGUGGACGCAUCACUGGUGUUCGGGUUGUCAUGCCAAUGGCACUGCCCGGUAGCUAAAUGCGGAAGAGAUAAGUGCUGAAAGCAUCUAAGCACGAAACUUGCCCCGAGAUGAGUUCUCCCUGACUCCUUGAGAGUCCUGAAGGAACGUUGAAGACGACGACGUUGAUAGGCCGGGUGUGUAAGCGCAGCGAUGCGUUGAGCUAACCGGUACUAAUGAACCGUGAGGCUUAACCU
Molecule: ribosomal RNA, 2900 nt
Filed under: Escherichia coli
Lineage: Bacteria; Pseudomonadati; Pseudomonadota; Gammaproteobacteria; Enterobacterales; Enterobacteriaceae
Description: 23S ribosomal RNA
Rfam family: Bacterial large subunit ribosomal RNA
Source: RNAcentral